Non-coding RNA from Rhodanobacter sp. C06, 97 nucleotides. The record is from Rfam. NCBI's taxonomy places the organism in Bacteria, Pseudomonadati, Pseudomonadota, Gammaproteobacteria, Lysobacterales, Rhodanobacteraceae.
UUCCAGAAGCGGGGGUGCCGGCGCAACGGUCGGCUGAGAGAGUCCCUUCGAACCUGAUCCGGUUAGCACCGGUGUAGGGAGCUUCGCCGCACGACGU